This 407-nucleotide ribosomal RNA is filed under the name Nepinnotheres cf. affinis LMT-2014. RNAcentral's name for it is "partial 16S large subunit ribosomal RNA". It matches the Rfam family "Bacterial large subunit ribosomal RNA", at positions 1918 to 2597 of the family's 2925-position model. The record is from RNAcentral. Lineage: Eukaryota; Metazoa; Arthropoda; Malacostraca; Decapoda; Pinnotheridae.
UUAUUUUUAAGGGCCGCGGUAAUUUGACUGUGCAAAGGUAGCAUAGUAGUUAGUUUUUUAAUUGAGAUCUUGUAUGAAUGGUUGGACAAAAGAAAUACUGUCUCUAGAAUUAUUAUUGAAUUUAACUUUUAAGUGAAAAGGCUUAAAUUAUUUAAGAAGACGAUAAGACCCUAUAAAGCAUUUUGUUGGGGAGACAAUAUUAUAAUUAGUAACUGUUAAUAAAUGAUACAUUAAUAUAUGAAAAGAUCCUAAAUAAAGAUUAGAAGUUUAAGUUACUUUAGGGAUAACAGCGUUAUUUUUUUUAAGAGUUCAUAUCGAAAAAAAAGAUUGCGACCUCGAUGUUGAAUUAAAAAUUCUAAAUAAUUGCAGCAGUUAUUUGAGAAGGUCUGUUCGACCUUUAAAUUUUU